GCCCGACUCGAUUCAGGACCAAACAACUUUUCGCGCCAAUACGAAUAAGCGUUGGACAGAGCGUCGGAAAUGUCUUCUGCUAAGUCAGUUGUUCCAUAUCAAGAGACAGGCAGAGAAGCGGGCUAUGGAUGGUACCUCGGAAGCUCUAGUAGUGAAUCUAUUCGUAAUUACCAGAUGCUCUGUGUGCCUUAUGAAAAUUCAAGAGCAAAAAAUUGACCCUGAGAGACGUUCGGUUUACCCAGACCUCGACCCAGACUGCGGUGUUAUCUAUUCCGGCCAAGGUGAGAAGGGAGGUGAACAACAACCCAGGAAAAAAGAAGCCGAAUCAACCGCUGCCACAACCUCCGGGCGAUGAUGACGCCCAUGGCAAUCAGAUGGUCAUCAAGAGGAACCACGGCGGCAGAAGCAGUUGCUCUAAAACCCCUGACCAACGUACGAACAGUUACCAGAUCUGCUGAACCAAGCCAUUCCGGCCACGCCGCCACGACAGCUGCAGCAAGCGCAGUAGGAAGCCCCACCACGGAACAUCCGGCCUGGGCCAAUGAAACAGUGGAGUAUAUAAGUGUAAUCUAUGGCAUACCUGUUGGCAAACACUACAUAUUAUGUUUUGAUUUACAUAGAUAAAGAAUGCAAUAACCCGCAUAACCAUGAACCAUA
Molecule: long non-coding RNA, 657 nt
Organism: Aedes albopictus (Asian tiger mosquito)
Lineage: Eukaryota; Metazoa; Arthropoda; Insecta; Diptera; Culicidae
Exons: 2
Source: RefSeq, a predicted model, not a curated record